GGUGGAUGAUGUGGAUUAAUUCGAUGCAACGCGAAAAACCUUACCUACCCUUGACAUGGCUGGAACCCUGGAGAGAUCGGGUCUCGACCAGAACAGGUGUGACGAGCGCAACCCUUGUCAUUAGUUGCUACGGGAUGUCAAGUCUCAUGGCCCUUAUGGGUAGGCUUCAUACAUGGUACAUACAAGGGCCGCCAACCCGCGAGGGGGAGCUUCCCAGAAAGUGUAUCGUAGUCCGGAUUGUAGUGCAACUCGACUACAUGAAGUUGGAAUCGCUAGUAAUCGGGAUCAGCAUGUCGCGGUGAAUACGUUCCCGGGUCUUGUACACACCGCCGUCACACCAUGGGAGCGGGUUUUACCAGAAGUAGGUAGCUUAACCCGAGGGCAACUGAGGGAGGGCGCUUACCACGUAGGACUCGUGACUGGGGUGAAGUCGUACAAGGU
Molecule: ribosomal RNA, 441 nt
Filed under: uncultured beta proteobacterium
Lineage: Bacteria; Pseudomonadati; Pseudomonadota; Betaproteobacteria
Description: bacterial SSU rRNA
Rfam family: Bacterial small subunit ribosomal RNA
Source: RNAcentral